AGCGUACACGGUGGAUGCCCUGGCAGUCAGAGGCGAUGAAGGACGUGCUAAUCUGCGAUAAGCGUCGGUAAGGUGAUAUGAACCGUUAUAACCGGCGAUUUCCGAAUGGGGAAACCCAGUGUGUUUCGACACACUAUCAUUAACUGAAUCCAUAGGUUAAUGAGGCGAACCGGGGGAACUGAAACAUCUAAGUACCCCGAGGAAAAGAAAUCAACCGAGAUUCCCCCAGUAGCGGCGAGCGAACGGGGAGCAGCCCAGAGCCUGAAUCAGUGUGUGUGUUAGUGGAAGCGUCUGGAAAGGCGCGCGAUACAGGGUGACAGCCCCGUACACAAAAAUGCACAUGCUGUGAGCUCGAUGAGUAGGGCGGGACACGUGGUAUCCUGUCUGAAUAUGGGGGGACCAUCCUCCAAGGCUAAAUACUCCUGACUGACCGAUAGUGAACCAGUACCGUGAGGGAAAGGCGAAAAGAACCCCGGCGAGGGGAGUGAAAAAGAACCUGAAACCGUGUACGUACAAGCAGUGGGAGCACGCUUCGGCGUGUGACUGCGUACCUUUUGUAUAAUGGGUCAGCGACUUAUAUUCUGUAGCAAGGUUAACCGAAUAGGGGAGCCGAAGGGAAACCGAGUCUUAACUGGGCGUUAAGUUGCAGGGUAUAGACCCGAAACCCGGUGAUCUAGCCAUGGGCAGGUUGAAGGUUGGGUAACACUAACUGGAGGACCGAACCGACUAAUGUUGAAAAAUUAGCGGAUGACUUGUGGCUGGGGGUGAAAGGCCAAUCAAACCGGGAGAUAGCUGGUUCUCCCCGAAAGCUAUUUAGGUAGCGCCUCGUGAAUUCAUCUCCGGGGGUAGAGCACUGUUUCGGCAAGGGGGUCAUCCCGACUUACCAACCCGAUGCAAACUGCGAAUACCGGAGAAUGUUAUCACGGGAGACACACGGCGGGUGCUAACGUCCGUCGUGAAGAGGGAAACAACCCAGACCGCCAGCUAAGGUCCCAAAGUCAUGGUUAAGUGGGAAACGAUGUGGGAAGGCCCAGACAGCCAGGAUGUUGGCUUAGAAGCAGCCAUCAUUUAAAGAAAGCGUAAUAGCUCACUGGUCGAGUCGGCCUGCGCGGAAGAUGUAACGGGGCUAAACCAUGCACCGAAGCUGCGGCAGCGACACUGUGUGUUGUUGGGUAGGGGAGCGUUCUGUAAGCCUGUGAAGGUGUACUGUGAGGUAUGCUGGAGGUAUCAGAAGUGCGAAUGCUGACAUAAGUAACGAUAAAGCGGGUGAAAAGCCCGCUCGCCGGAAGACCAAGGGUUCCUGUCCAACGUUAAUCGGGGCAGGGUGAGUCGACCCCUAAGGCGAGGCCGAAAGGCGUAGUCGAUGGGAAACAGGUUAAUAUUCCUGUACUUGGUGUUACUGCGAAGGGGGGACGGAGAAGGCUAUGUUGGCCGGGCGACGGUUGUCCCGGUUUAAGCGUGUAGGCUGGUUUUCCAGGCAAAUCCGGAAAAUCAAGGCUGAGGCGUGAUGACGAGGCACUACGGUGCUGAAGCAACAAAUGCCCUGCUUCCAGGAAAAGCCUCUAAGCAUCAGGUAACAUCAAAUCGUACCCCAAACCGACACAGGUGGUCAGGUAGAGAAUACCAAGGCGCUUGAGAGAACUCGGGUGAAGGAACUAGGCAAAAUGGUGCCGUAACUUCGGGAGAAGGCACGCUGAUAUGUAGGUGAAGUCCCUCGCGGAUGGAGCUGAAAUCAGUCGAAGAUACCAGCUGGCUGCAACUGUUUAUUAAAAACACAGCACUGUGCAAACACGAAAGUGGACGUAUACGGUGUGACGCCUGCCCGGUGCCGGAAGGUUAAUUGAUGGGGUCAGCGCAAGCGAAGCUCUUGAUCGAAGCCCCGGUAAACGGCGGCCGUAACUAUAACGGUCCUAAGGUAGCGAAAUUCCUUGUCGGGUAAGUUCCGACCUGCACGAAUGGCGUAAUGAUGGCCAGGCUGUCUCCACCCGAGACUCAGUGAAAUUGAACUCGCUGUGAAGAUGCAGUGUACCCGCGGCAAGACGGAAAGACCCCGUGAACCUUUACUAUAGCUUGACACUGAACAUUGAGCCUUGAUGUGUAGGAUAGGUGGGAGGCUUAGAAGUGUGGACGCCAGUCUGCAUGGAGCCGACCUUGAAAUACCACCCUUUAAUGUUUGAUGUUCUAACGUUGACCCGUGAUCCGGGUUGCGGACAGUGUCUGGUGGGUAGUUUGACUGGGGCGGUCUCCUCCUAAAGAGUAACGGAGGAGCACGAAGGUUGGCUAAUCCUGGUCGGACAUCAGGAGGUUAGUGCAAUGGCAUAAGCCAGCUUGACUGCGAGCGUGACGGCGCGAGCAGGUGCGAAAGCAGGUCAUAGUGAUCCGGUGGUUCUGAAUGGAAGGGCCAUCGCUCAACGGAUAAAAGGUACUCCGGGGAUAACAGGCUGAUACCGCCCAAGAGUUCAUAUCGACGGCGGUGUUUGGCACCUCGAUGUCGGCUCAUCACAUCCUGGGGCUGAAGUAGGUCCCAAGGGUAUGGCUGUUCGCCAUUUAAAGUGGUACGCGAGCUGGGUUUAGAACGUCGUGAGACAGUUCGGUCCCUAUCUGCCGUGGGCGCUGGAGAACUGAGGGGGGCUGCUCCUAGUACGAGAGGACCGGAGUGGACGCAUCACUGGUGUUCGGGUUGUCAUGCCAAUGGCACUGCCCGGUAGCUAAAUGCGGAAGAGAUAAGUGCUGAAAGCAUCUAAGCACGAAACUUGCCCCGAGAUGAGUUCUCCCUGACUCCUUGA
Molecule: ribosomal RNA, 2786 nt
Filed under: Escherichia coli
Lineage: Bacteria; Pseudomonadati; Pseudomonadota; Gammaproteobacteria; Enterobacterales; Enterobacteriaceae
Description: bacterial LSU rRNA
Rfam family: Bacterial large subunit ribosomal RNA
Source: RNAcentral